Molecule: ribosomal RNA, 169 nt
Filed under: uncultured bacterium
Lineage: Bacteria
Description: partial 16S ribosomal RNA
Rfam family: Bacterial small subunit ribosomal RNA
Source: RNAcentral
CCUACGGGAGGCAGCAGUGGGGAAUCUUGCACAAUGGAGGAAACUCUGAUGCAGCGAUGCCGCGUGAGUGAAGAAGGCCUUUGGGUUGUAAAGCUCUUUUGUAGGGGAAGAUAAUGACUGUACCCUAAGAAUAAGGUCCGGCUAACUUCGUGCCAGCAGCCGCGGUAAU